GUCAGGAUGGCCGAGGGGUGCAAGGCCAUGCGUUCAGGUCGCAGUCUCCCCUGGAGGCGUGGGUUCAAAUCCCAUUUCUGACA
Molecule: transfer RNA, 83 nt
Filed under: Ameiurus melas (black bullhead)
Lineage: Eukaryota; Metazoa; Chordata; Actinopteri; Siluriformes; Ictaluridae
Rfam family: tRNA
About the family: Transfer RNA (tRNA) molecules are approximately 80 nucleotides in length. Their secondary structure includes four short double-helical elements and three loops (D, anti-codon, and T loops). Further hydrogen bonds mediate the characteristic L-shaped molecular structure. tRNAs have two regions of fundamental functional importance: the anti-codon, which is responsible for specific mRNA codon recognition, and the 3' end, to which the tRNAs corresponding amino acid is attached (by aminoacyl-tRNA synthetases). tRNAs cope with the degeneracy of the genetic code in two manners: having more than one tRNA (with a specific anti-codon) for a particular amino acid; and 'wobble' base-pairing, i.e. permitting non-standard base-pairing at the 3rd anti-codon position.
Source: Rfam by way of RNAcentral